UGGGGAAUUUUGGACAAUGGGCGAAAGCCUGAUCCAGCAAUGCCGCGUGUGUGAAGAAGGCCUUCGGGUUGUAAAGCACUUUUGUCCGGAAAGAAAUCCUUGGCUCUAAUACAGUCGGGGGAUGACGGUACCGGAAGAAUAAGCACCGGCUAACUACGUGCCAGCAGCCGCGGUAAUACGUAGGGUGCAAGCGUUAAUCGGAAUUACUGGGCGUAAAGCGUGCGCAGGCGGUUUGCUAAGACCGAUGUGAAAUCCCCGGGCUCAACCUGGGAACUGCAUUGGUGACUGGCAGGCUAGAGUAUGGCAGAGGGGGGUAGAAUUCCACGUGUAGCAGUGAAAUGCGUAGAGAUGUGGAGGAAUACCGAUGGCGAAGGCAGCCCCCUGGGCCAAAUACUGACGCUCAUGCACGAAAGCGUGGGGAGCAAACAGGAUUAGAUACCCUGGUAGUCCACGCCCUAAACGAUGUCAACUAGUUGUUGGGGAUUCAUUUCCUUAGUAACGUAGCUAACGCGUGAAGUUGACCGCCUGGGGGAGUACGGUCGCAAGAUUAAAA
RNAcentral lists this ribosomal RNA (553 nucleotides) under uncultured bacterium. RNAcentral's name for it is "partial 16S ribosomal RNA". It matches the Rfam family "Bacterial small subunit ribosomal RNA", at positions 355 to 899 of the family's 1533-position model. The record is from RNAcentral.